GCAAGUCGAACGGCAGCAGGACCAGCAAUGGUUCUGCGAGAGUGGCGAACGGGUGCGUAACGCGUAUGCAACCUACCUCCAACUGGGGAAUAGCCCUGGGAAACCGGGAUUAAUACCGCAUAAGGUGGUAGAACCGCAUGGUUCAGCCAUUAAAGCAUUGCGGUUGGAGAUGGGCAUGCGUGCCAUUAGCUAGUUGGCGGGGUAAUAGCCCACCAAGGCGACGAUGGCUAGGGGUUCUGAGAGGAUGAUCCCCCACACUGGUACUGAGAUACGGACCAGACUCCUACGGGAGGCAGCAGUAGGGAAUAUUGGUCAAUGGACGCAAGUCUGAACCAGCCAUGCCGCGUGCAGGAGGAAGGCGCUCUGCGUUGUAAACUGCUUUUGUACGGGAAGAAUAUUUCGUUUGCGAACGGAUUUGACGGUACCGUAAGAAUAAGGAUCGGCUAACUACGUGCCAGCAGCCGCGGUAAUACGUAGGAUCCAAGCGUUGUCCGGAUUUAUUGGGUUUAAAGGGUGCGCAGGCGGCCUGAUAAGUCAGUGGUGAAAGCCCGUUGCUUAACAACGGAACUGCCAUUGAUACUGUCGGGCUUGAGUACAGUUGAGGUUGGCGGAAUGUAUCAUGUAGCGGUGA
RNAcentral lists this ribosomal RNA (631 nucleotides) under uncultured Sphingobacteriales bacterium. RNAcentral's name for it is "bacterial SSU rRNA". It matches the Rfam family "Bacterial small subunit ribosomal RNA", at positions 57 to 684 of the family's 1533-position model. The record is from RNAcentral. Lineage: Bacteria; Pseudomonadati; Bacteroidota; Sphingobacteriia; Sphingobacteriales.